UGGGGAAUUUUGGACAAUGGGCGCAAGCCUGAUCCAGCCAUGCCGCGUGCGGGAAGAAGGCCUUCGGGUUGUAAACCGCUUUUGUCAGGGAAGAAAUCUUCUGAGUUAAUACCCCGGGAGGAUGACGGUACCUGAAGAAUAAGCACCGGCUAACUACGUGCCAGCAGCCGCGGUAAUACGUAGGGUGCAAGCGUUAAUCGGAAUUACUGGGCGUAAAGCGUGCGCAGGCGGUUUUGUAAGACAGAGGUGAAAUCCCCGGGCUCAACCUGGGAACUGCCUUUGUGACUGCAAGGCUUGAGUGCGGCAGAGGGGGGAUGGAAUUCCGCGUGUAGCAGUGAAAUGCGUAGAUAUGCGGAGGAACACCGAUGGCGAAGGCAAUCCCCUGGGCCUGCACUGACGCUCAUGCACGAAAGCGUGGGGAGCAAACAGGAUUAGAUACCCUGGUAGUCCACGCCCUAAACGAUGUCAACUGGUUGUUGGGAAGGUUCCUUCUCAGUAACGUAGCUAACGCGUGAAGUUGACCNCCUGGGGAGUACGCCGCAAGGUUGAAACUUAAAUGAAUUGACGGGUCAUAGCUGUUUCCU
RNAcentral lists this ribosomal RNA (584 nucleotides) under uncultured bacterium. RNAcentral describes it as "partial 16S ribosomal RNA". It matches the Rfam family "Bacterial small subunit ribosomal RNA", at positions 355 to 932 of the family's 1533-position model. The record is from RNAcentral.